This 80-nucleotide non-coding RNA is filed under the name Schwartzia succinivorans. RNAcentral's name for it is "ZTP sequence". It matches the Rfam family "ZMP/ZTP riboswitch aptamer (pfl RNA motif)". From Rfam's summary of the family: Previously known as pfl RNA. RNAcentral also lists the same sequence under 1 other name. Lineage: Bacteria; Bacillati; Bacillota; Negativicutes; Selenomonadales; Selenomonadaceae. The record is from RNAcentral.
UGAGGUCUGUACGACUGACGGAAGUGGAAUUGACCACAGGGAGUACAGAUAUGAAGAAGCCGACCGUCUGGGCACAUGAA